Molecule: ribosomal RNA, 394 nt
Filed under: Streptococcus salivarius
Lineage: Bacteria; Bacillati; Bacillota; Bacilli; Lactobacillales; Streptococcaceae
Description: bacterial SSU rRNA
Rfam family: Bacterial small subunit ribosomal RNA
Source: RNAcentral
GACGAACGCUGGCGGCGUGCCUAAUACAUGCAAGUAGAACGCUGAAGAGAGGAGCUUGCUUUUCUUGGAUGAGUUGCGAACGGGUGAGUAACGCGUAGGUAACCUGCCUUGUAGCGGGGGAUAACUAUUGGAAACGAUAGCUAAUACCGCAUAACAAUGGAUGACCCAUGUCAUUUAUUUGAAAGGGGCAAAUGCUCCACUACAAGAUGGACCUGCGUUGUAUUAGCUAGUAGGUGAGGUAACGGCUCACCUAGGCGACGAUACAUAGCCGACCUGAGAGGGUGAUCGGCCACACUGGGACUGAGACACGGCCCAGACUCCUACGGGAGGCAGCAGUAGGGAAUCUUCGGCAAUGGGGGCAACCCUGACCGAGCAACGCCGCGUGAGUGAAGAA